UACGUAGGGUGCAAGCGUUAAUCGGAAUUACUGGGCGUAAAGCGUGCGCAGGCGGUGAUGUAAGGCAGUUGUGAAAUCCCCGGGCUCAACCUGGGAACUGCAUCUGUGACUGCAUCGCUGGAGUGCGGCAGAGGGGGAUGGAAUUCCGCGUGUAGCAGUGAAAUGCGUAGAUAUGCGGAGGAACACCGAUGGCGAAGGCAAUCCCCUGGGCCUGCACUGACGCUCAUGCACGAAAGCGUGGGGAGCAAACAGG
RNAcentral lists this ribosomal RNA (253 nucleotides) under uncultured bacterium. Its description in RNAcentral is "partial 16S ribosomal RNA". It matches the Rfam family "Bacterial small subunit ribosomal RNA", at positions 524 to 776 of the family's 1533-position model. The record is from RNAcentral.